UGUCACAAGUUGCUGAAAGAAAAACUCCAAGUCGCAUUUUAAAUCUCAACAAACCAGGACUUAAAGAUACCUGAACACUUCUGAAGCAUGAAUGAGGAAUCACAGAGAAGAUCUACAGUUUGGUGUCUUCUUUGUGGCACUGAAUAUUAUUCUAUUCAAAAUUGCAGUGUUGUUUUUGAUGAUUCUCUUUUUGGAAAGUCCAAUAGAGAGACUGCUUUUCCUAUCCAAACAAAAGUCCCCUUUCCUGGACUAUGACUACAGUGCUUCAAGUAAAACAUGCCAAGAACAGGAAUUGGCAAAAAUAUCUGUUGCAGCUGCCACUGAAAACCACAACUGACAGCAGAAGAUAUUUGUGAUAUUUUGGUGUUUCUGUUUACAAACAGAAGCUCAGCAAGUUA
Passer domesticus (house sparrow) is the source of this 398-nucleotide long non-coding RNA. RefSeq lists it as uncharacterized. The record is from RefSeq and is a predicted model, not a curated record. NCBI's taxonomy places the organism in Eukaryota, Metazoa, Chordata, Aves, Passeriformes, Passeridae. The transcript has 3 exons.